Molecule: long non-coding RNA, 1010 nt
Organism: Cornus florida
Lineage: Eukaryota; Viridiplantae; Streptophyta; Magnoliopsida; Cornales; Cornaceae
Exons: 7
Source: RefSeq, a predicted model, not a curated record
AUGUAUUAUUCUUAGGGCAAAUCAUUUCAGCCUCCCCAAUCGCCUCUGUCUCUAGUCUCGUUCUCAACUCUGAACUUACCCUCUCUCUCUCUCUCUCUCUCUGCAACUGCAAACUACAAAAUCUACAAGAAUCAGAAGUUCAAAACCCAUAUAUUUCAGUUUAUCUAUCUGUCUGCAAGAAUCAAAAGUUAAAUACCCAUAUCGGCAUAUCAUUUCAGAUUGUUCAAAAAAUCAAAACCCAUAUCUUUCAGUUUCCAUCGCCCGCUGUUCCAGUUCGGGUUCGCCGUUCGCAAGCUCAGACGCUGUCUCUCAACUCUCAAGCUUGCCCCCCUCUCCCUCUGCAACUGCUAACUUGGUUAAUAUCGGGCCUUAACAUUUAGCAAGAACAAGGUUCAAGAAAUAUGCCUCCUCAGUCAUCAGGUCACUUUUCUGAAAGAAGAGAGUUGAUGGGAAUGAGUGGAGUAGGGGAAAAGAAGGUUCAAUGGACAAACUCUGGAUUUCCAUUUGAUUGCCUUACCUUUUGGUCCGUAAUAACUAACUAUAACUAAUUGAGUCAUUAGGUACCUGAAGAUGUUGGGAGGUACCUGAAGAUGUUGGGAGCAUAUGUUUCUGCUGGGUUUAAAACUCUGACCUUCAAGGACCACAUUAAGUGUGGGGUGUUCCUGGUUAGCUUGGGUAUUUAUUGCUCUCGGGAUUUGUGAGAUAAGAAGUAUGUGGUGGAGCAAAACUUGAAGAUGCGUUCGGUUCAUGCGAAGGAACGCAUUGCUACAGCUUGUGAAAUUCAAGCAGAGGCAUCCAUGCAGCAGGCAGAGGAUGCCGAGCGCUAUGCAAGCGCUUCAGAGUCGGACAAACUCUGGAUAUCAAUCUGAUUUGCCUCAUUUUUUUAGUUUUUUACUUUGGUCUGUAAUAACAAACUAAUUGAGACAUUAGGUAGUACCUAUUUGGUGAACAUAGUUUGAACCUUUACAUCUAAUCAACAACCGCAUUACUCUAUCAUUAGCACAUAAUAA